RNAcentral lists this ribosomal RNA (320 nucleotides) under uncultured eukaryote. Its description in RNAcentral is "partial 18S ribosomal RNA". It matches the Rfam family "Eukaryotic small subunit ribosomal RNA", at positions 1470 to 1796 of the family's 1831-position model. The record is from RNAcentral.
CCCUUAGAUGUUCUGGGCCGCACGCGCGCUACACUGACGAAUGCAACGAGCUUAUAACCUUGUCCGAAAGGUCUGGGUAAUCUCCAAAUUUCGUCGUGAUGGGGAUAGAUUAUUGCAAUUAUUAAUCUUCAACGAGGAAUGCCUAGUAAGCGCAAGUCAUCAGCUUGCAUUGAUUACGUCCCUGCCCUUUGUACACACCGCCCGUCGCACCUACCGAUUGAAUGGUCCGGUGAAAUCUCGGGACGGCGGCUUGGUCGCUUGCGUCCGACUGCUGAAACUUGAUUAAACCAUAUCAUUUAGAGGAAGGUGAAGUCGUANCA